Molecule: ribosomal RNA, 649 nt
Filed under: uncultured Verrucomicrobiota bacterium
Lineage: Bacteria; Pseudomonadati; Verrucomicrobiota
Description: bacterial SSU rRNA
Rfam family: Bacterial small subunit ribosomal RNA
Source: RNAcentral
CCCUUUGGCGGCGUGGUUAAGACAUGCAAGUCGAACGGGGCUGGUUUGGUAGCAAUACCGGGCCAGCCUAGUGGCGAACGGGUGCGUAACACGUGACCAACCUUCCCAAAAGUGGGGAAUAGCUCGCCGAAAGGCGGAUUAAUACCGCAUGUACCUCAAAGCAAUUUGAGGCAAAGCAGCAAUGCGCUUUUGGAUGGGGUCGCGGCCUAUCAGCUAGUUGGUGGGGUAAAGGCUCACCAAGGCAUCGACGGGUAGCUGGUCUGAGAGGACGACCAGCCACACUGGAACUGAGACACGGUCCAGACACCUACGGGUGGCAGCAGUCGAGAAUUUUUCUCAAUGGGGGAAACCCUGAAGGAGCGACGCCGCGUGGAGGAUGAAGGCUUUCGGGUUGUAAACUCCUGUCAUUUGGGAACAAAGUCCGCCUCUGGCGGAUGUGAUAGUACCAGAAGAGGAAGAGACGGCUAACUCUGUGCCAGCAGCCGCGGUAAUACAGAGGUCUCAAACGUUGUUCGGAUUCAUUGGGCGUAAAGGGCGCGUAGGCUGCGGGGUAAGUCAGGUGUGAAAUCUCAGAGCUCAACUCUGAAAUUGCACUUGAUACUGCUCUGCUAGAGGACUGGAGAGGAGAUUGGAAUUCACGGUGUAGCAU